RNAcentral lists this ribosomal RNA (457 nucleotides) under uncultured Streptococcus sp. RNAcentral describes it as "bacterial SSU rRNA". It matches the Rfam family "Bacterial small subunit ribosomal RNA", at positions 921 to 1382 of the family's 1533-position model. The record is from RNAcentral. Lineage: Bacteria; Bacillati; Bacillota; Bacilli; Lactobacillales; Streptococcaceae.
CCGCACAAGCGGUGGAGCAUGUGGUUUAAUUCGAGGCAACGCGAAGAACCUUACCAGGUCUUGACAUCCCGAUGCUAUUUCUAGAGAUAGAAAGUUACUUCGGUACAUCGGUGACAGGUGGUGCAUGGUUGUCGUCAGCUCGUGUCGUGAGAUGUUGGGUUAAGUCCCGCAACGAGCGCAACCCCUAUUGUUAGUUGCCAUCAUUCAGUUGGGCACUCUAGCGAGACUGCCGGUAAUAACCGGAGAAGUGGGGAUGACGUCAAAUCAUCAUGCCCCUUAUGACCUGGGCUACACACGUGCUACAAUGGUUGGUACAACGAGUUGCGAGUCGGUGACGGCGAGCUAAUCUCUUAAAGCCAAUCUCAGUUCGGAUUGUAGGCUGCAACUCGCCUACAUGAAGUCGGAAUCGCUAGUAAUCGCGGAUCAGCACGCCGCGGUGAAUACGUUCCCGGGCCUU